RNAcentral lists this unclassified non-coding RNA (204 nucleotides) under uncultured fungus. Its description in RNAcentral is "sequence contains ITS1". Lineage: Eukaryota; Fungi. The record is from RNAcentral.
UUGAUUCAUUUGUUUAUGAUUCCACUCAGACAUGCUAUAAAAAAGAUACAAGAGUUUGGGUCCCCCGGCGGGCGCCUGGUUCCGGCGGCUUUUUGGGCCUUCCGGGGCGUUAACCCGCCGAAGCAACAGUAAAGGUAUAAGUUCACAGGGGUUUGGGAGUAGAAAAACUCGGUAAUGAUCCCUCCGCUGGUUCACCAACGGAGA